Molecule: long non-coding RNA, 220 nt
Organism: Corapipo altera (White-ruffed manakin)
Lineage: Eukaryota; Metazoa; Chordata; Aves; Passeriformes; Pipridae
Exons: 2
Source: RefSeq, a predicted model, not a curated record
AUCACCAGAACCUCUGUUGGCUCCAUCUCUUACUGGAGAGGAGGGUAAAGAAGAGCAAGUAGAGAAGGAAAACAUCAAAGCAAAGCCUGAAGGAAUGAAACCAAUCCUCAAGAGGCCUGGUGCUGCUGCUGCAGCACCACAACCUGAAGAAGUCACCUUUGCCAACACUGAAAUGCCAAGCACAAGCACCGGGAAAGGAGACACUCGGAAGGAAAGCAUU